Molecule: ribosomal RNA, 2936 nt
Filed under: human gut metagenome
Description: bacterial LSU rRNA
Rfam family: Bacterial large subunit ribosomal RNA
Source: RNAcentral
UCAAGCAAUGGAGGGUCCGUGGAGGAUGCCUUGGAGCCACCAGGCGAUGAAGGACGCGGCAAGCUGCGAUAAGCCGCGGGGAGCUGCAGCGUAGCUGUGAUCCGCGGACGUCCGAAUCGGGUAACCGGCACGCCGGAGGGCGUGCGUCCCGCGGCCGAACACAUAGGCUGCGGGAAGCCAUACGCGGGGGAGUGAACCAUCUGAGUACCCGCAGGAAGAGAAAUCAAACGAGAUUCCGCCAGUAGCGGCGAGCGAACGCGGAGGAGCCCAAACCGGGCGGCUUCGGCCGGCCGGGGUUGCAGGGCCGGCGCGGGGUUUUCCCGCGGUCCGUGGGCGAGCGAGCGGAACGGUCUGGGAAGGCCGGCCGGAGCGGGUGAGAGCCCCGUACGCGAAGCGAUGCCCGGGGCCGUGGCGCCGGAGCCUGAGUACCGCGGGACACGAGGAAUCCCGCGGGAAGCUGGGGGGACCACCCUCCAAGGCUGAACACUCGGUGGCUACCGAUAGAGCAGAGUACCGUGAGGGAAAGGUGAAAAGCACCCCGGGAGGGGAGUGAAAGAGAACCUGAAACCACGGACCCGCAAGCGGUCGCGGCGGGGCUUUUGCCCCGUGGCGGCGUGCCUUUUGUAGAAUGAGCCUGCGAGUUGCCGUGCGUGGCGAGGCGAGGGGACGGGAGUCCCGGAGCCGGAGGGAAACCGAGUCCGAACAGGGCGCGAGUCGCGCGCGGCAGACCCGAAGCCAAGUGAUCUAGCCGCGGCCAGGCUGAGGCAGGGGUGAAACCCUGUGGAGGGCCGAACCUAAGUCCGCUGAAAAGGGCUGGGACGAGCUGCGGCUGGGAGUGAAAGGCUAAACAAACUUGGAGAUAGCUGGCACUCUCCGAAAUAGCUUUAGGGCUAGCGUCGUGCGGAAAGCGCGGGAGGUAGAGCACCGGAUAGGCGAGGGGCCGUCACUGGCUGCCGGGCUUAACCGAACUCCGAAUGCCCGCGCGUGGCGCACGGCAGCCAGACGGCGGCUGAUAAAGGCCGUCGUCGAGAGGGGAACAGCCCGGACCGCCGGCCAAGGUCCCGAAUGCGCGCCGAGUGGGAAAGGAGGUGCGGAUGCACAGACAGCCAGGAGGUUGGCUCAGAGGCAGCAACGCCUCCAAGGAGUGCGUAACAGCUCACUGGUCGAGUAUCCGCGCGCCGACAAUUCAGCGGGGCUAAGCGCGCAACCGAAGCCGCGGGCCUCCUCCCGUAGGGGAGGGGGCGGUAGGAGAGCAUGCCGCAUGCGGGCGAAGCGGGGGCGGGAGCCCCCGUGGACGAUGCGGCAGAGAGGAUGCAGGCAUGAGUAACGUGAAAGAGGGGUGGGAUCCCCCUCCGCCGGAAGCCUGAGGUUUCCAGGGUAAAGGCAAUCUGCCCGAGGGUCAGCCGGCCCCUAAGGCGAGGGUGAGGACCGUAGCCGACGGGAAGCGGGUCAACAUUCCCGCGCCGGCCGCGCUUACGAUGGUGGCGACACGCGAGGACUGUGCGCGCGGGCUGGCGGAAUAGCCCGCGGAAGGCGCGAGCCUGCGAGGGCCGGGGGAAAAUACGGCCCGAGGCGAGCGCGGAAGGAGCCCUCCCACGGGGGGGCGAAGGCGCACGGUUCAUGGCGGCGAGAAAGAGCCACUGGGAGCUACGCGGCCGACCGUACCAGAGACCGACACAGGUGGGCGAGCUGAGAAUGCGAAGGCGGCGGAAGAGUUCGCGUCAAGGAACUCGGCAAAAAGCAUGCGUAACUUCGGGAGAAGCAUGGCUCCCGCGAGGGAGCCGCAGAGAAACGGCCCAUGCGACUGUUUACCAAAAACACAGGUCCGCGCGAACCGGCGACGGGAGGUAUGCGGACUGACACCUGCCCGGUGCCGGAAGGUCAAGGGGAGCCGUCAGCGCGAGCGAAGCGGCGAGCCCAAGCCCCGGCAAACGGCGGCCGUAACUAUAACGGUCCUAAGGUAGCGAAAUUCCUUGUCGGGCAAGUUCCGACCCGCACGAAAGGUGUAACGAUAUGGGCGCUGUCUCGACGCGAAAUCCGGUGAAAUUGAAGUCCAGGUGAAGAUGCCUGGUACCCGUGGUUAGACGGAAAGACCCCGUGAACCUUUACUUCAGCCUGGCGCCGGCGUGCGCAAGGGCACGUGCAGGAUAGGCGGGAGGCGGAGAUCCGGGCCCCUCAGGGUCCGGGGAGCCGGCGGUGAGAUACCGCCCCUGCCCUUGCGCGCCCCUAACCCGCGGCGCGAACCGGCGCGGGGACUACGCCAGGCGGGAAGUUUGACUGGGGCGGUCGCCUCCCAAAAGGUAACGGAGGCGCGCGAAGGUCGCCUUAGGACGGUCGGGAAUCGUCCGGCAAGCGCAAAGGCACAAGGCGGCCUGACUGCGAGCCCGACACGGCGAGCAGGUGCGAAAGCAGGUCUUAGUGAUCUGGCGGUGGCGCGUGGAAGCGCCGUCACUUAACGGAUAAAAGGUACUCCGGGGAUAACAGGCUGAUCUUGCCCAAGAGUUCACAUCGACGGCAAGGUUUGGCACCUCGAUGUCGGCUCAUCGCAUCCUGGGGCUGGAGCAGGUCCCAAGGGUUUGGCUGUUCGCCAAUUAAAGCGGUACGCGAGCUGGGUUCAAAACGUCGUGAGACAGUUUGGUCCCUAUCUGCCAUGGGCGCUGGACGUCUGGGGGGUCCUGCCUCUAGUACGAGAGGACCGAGGUGGACGGACCUCUGGUGUACCGGUUGUCCCGCCAGGGGCAGCCGCCGGGUAGCCAUGUCCGGAAGGGAUAACCGCUGAGAGCAUCUAAGCGGGAAGCCCGCCCCGAGAUGAGACGUCCCCGAGGCCGUACGGCCUCCUGAAGGAACCGGCGAGACGAGCCGGUCGAUAGGCCGGGGGUGCAGGCGCGGCGACGCGCACAGCCCACCGGUACUAAUCAGCCGUGAGGCUUGGCCAC